ACGCACACACACGCACACGCCUACUUACUUAUUUGGUCCUACGCCUUCACGUACCACCUGUCCCGCACAUACUCUCACCCCUCCAUCCUACUACUCACCUCAUAAGAAAUUAGCCAUAGCACGGCUGUGUUGGUACGUCGAUCGCUUCUCCGUGCACGUGCGUAGGUUUGUGUGCCUGUUUACCAGCUUCAAGCACCUGUUACUGCGGGGCAUCGCAACAGAGACACAGAGAGAAACCAGACAAGCAUACGGAGCAGCUGUCUAUAUAAGUUAAUACAUACUUUGCGCAACACUCAGGCGCAUGAACGUAAUGCUUGGUUGUGGUGGUGGUGGUGGUUAAGCCGAUACGUCCAGCCCGCGCUCUCUCUCUCCAGCGAAACGGACGACGCGAUACGAGCCGCCUUUUUGUUAUCGUUGGAUGGUUACUCCUCGCCAUAGACUUCACCCUUGUCGCUGAGCCUUCCCCUUCCUUUCUCCAUCCUCCAUCUCCCUCCGCUUCGUUUUAUUGUUGUUGUUUUGUUUUCUUAGUACAUCUGUGUAUGCGUCUCUUUCAAGCAAGUAGUCUCCGCGCGAUAAUUUCUACAUAAGCAGUCUCCCUCUCCCUCACCAUCUCCAACCUCUCCCCACGCACAGGCACACGACUCUGGGUCUACUGCUGGCAUCUGCUGCUGCUGUGUCACGACGUCCCGGGCUGUCUCGCUCGCUUCGCUGGGCUCGGGCGCACGGUACAGGCAAGGGGUUGCUCGCCUCGUUGAGAGAGACGUGCGCCCUUAUGGUGCUCUAGCGGAAGAAGAAACUCGUGAAAGCCGGCGGAGAGUUCUGUGACUGCCUGCGCAGUCAUUCUGUAGAGCGUCGUGGCGAAAAAGCGUUGAGCGGCACACCGUCUGUAGCGAGUCCGCUCUCCCUCUGCCUACGCUUUCCCGGCUCAUCGAUCCCCCUCCCCACUCGAGAUGCAUCUCUCUGCCACAGCCGCCGCCCUCCUCUGUGUCGCCAGCGCUGCCGCCUUAGGCUUCGGCAUCAUUUUCGCUUUGUUUGCGUUGAUGUACUUCGGCUGCCUCAGGAUCCCGAACGGUGGUGUGGCCAAUGGCAACCGCCGCUGGCGGCGCGAGCGCAAUUCCCCCGAGCAGCUGGGCUCGUCCUCCAGUGGCGAGGCGGCCGCGGUAGAGCGUCAGUGGAAGGGCAUUCCGCUGAACUCGCGGCCGCCGCGCCUGACGCCGGAGCAGGAGAUCCUGCGCGAAAAGGCGAUGGAGAAGUACAAGCGUCGUCAGGCCCGCCAGGAGCGCCGCAGUCAGCGCCAAGCUGCCCGCGAGGCACGCAUGGCAAAUGUGCGCGAGGGCGCCAGAGAAGGCGCGGUGAGCGAGGACGAGUUUGCCGGCGACUCCUCUGACACCAGUCGAACAACGCUAACGUCUGGAGCGACGACGGUGCGGACGACGUCGACUGUCGCGUACGGGCGCAGCUCCUAUCUCCGACCCCCCUCAGGUGAUUUCAUGGUGCAUGUAGGCGAGCAUGUUGAUAACGAUGACCGGUGCAGCUCGCGCAGCGGUGGCUCGCGAAGCAGCCGUGGCUCUGCGCGCAGUCGCGCCAGCCAAGGCACAGUUGCUACCAUCAAGUCGUACUUGCGUCACCGCCAGCGCCAGCGCCUGCGUCGCCGCGAGGAGCAGCAGCAGCUGGAGCUGUUUAACCAGUGGGCGUAUGCGCAGAUGGUAUCCUCCUCGGAGCUGUCGUCUUCCUCAAAGUCCGUCUCUACGUCGUCACAGCAUGACGGGGAGGGAAGCGCGACUGGUGGAGGCGCUCGUCGCCGCACCCGAACGGCCUGUGGCAGUCGCAGUCGCAAUCAUGUGCAUCCGGGCCGCUCGGCCAGCGUGGCCAGCUCAGCACCUCGUCCGCUGGAGGACGUGCUCGGUACCGACUGCGAGUCGUACCCGUUCCUUAUGAACGUCGAGCGCAGCAAUCUGGAAGGUUUCAGAGUUGACACUCAGCGCCCAUCCCCGCACCCGACUGCGCUCUCUGCAAACACUAGCAGGUGCGACGCGGCGUCUCCCGGUCUGUUUACAUACUCGAACGACACGACAGAUGCAACCUCGCCGCACGUGGCGUCGGCGGAGCACGUCGAAUAUGCCGUCCGUGGUGGAUCCGGGGUGCACACUGGCGAGCACGUCGACCAUCGGCAGCCGCGCCGCCACAAGCGCACGUGGAAGGAUGUCGAGCACAACGUCGCGCUCAGCGGUUUCUUUAAUACCCCCACAAAUAACAACAUGGCCAGCGUAGACACCGUGUCUCGGUCUCACUACAACGACGGAGAAGCGCCAGCCCCAUCCUUGAGCGCUCCUGGAGAACCGCUGGACAGCUCCUUGGGCGUCCACGAACCGAUUUGCCAUGAGUGAGCACGAAUGUUGCAAAGACACAAAUGUUCAACGGACGAGACAGAGACUAGAUGAACCCUAACUACGAGAUGUGCGAUCGUCAACUUCCCAGAGGCCGCCCUCUCGACGUCGCAAGCCUUCGUCCCCUUCUGCGUCACGGAUGCGGCGAUCCCGCGAGCGCCGGUAUUCAAUGCCGAGCAGUCACCGUUGUCUUUCAUGAGAGACUGGAAGGUAUUGCAUCUGUGACUUGCACAAGUCGGGUUGACGAGGUUGAAGAACCUCCUAGACACGCGGGAGAGAUCGCUAAUACGCGCGUGUCGACCUAAAUCGCCACGGUCGGCAUGACAGCGCGCCCGCGCAUGCGUAUUGCACUACAGAAGGAACGGAUGUGUGGGGAGAGACUGCAAAGUGCGGUCAAGCUGCGGAGGCGAUUGCGCAGUCGAGCCCAGUUGCAUGCAUCGAUGUCUCUCUCUCUCUCUCCGUUCGUCUCAGUUCGCGGCGUCCCUCUAUCCCUCGCCGUUGCCUUGGUGCCUGUUGGGUGCCCUCUUCUGGGUCUGUUGUCGUGUGGGGCCCUCUCUGCCUCGUGCUGCCAGCCACCUCAGUGCAUGAUACCACAGGGUCUGGUACGCACACGCCGUGUGUGGGGGAAAAGGGGGGGGGCCAAAGAGCCUGCAGCCUGCCGUCGGGUACGGCCGCGGCCUCGUGGUGUCGGCCGGACAGGUCUGGGCCGGCGCUUCACCGGGGAGACGCAGGUCACGAUCGCGUUUGUGCCCUCCCGCGACGGACCGUGUCAGCGAUUCGACACACGUGGGGCGAUGCGGUCCAUAGUCACCAGCCCCACAGUGCGUGCUUGCAAAGCAUGCGGCAUCUACGCCCGGCCGGGCGGACUGGUGAGGCGCAGACGCCGGAAGCGUGAGGGGAGCACCCCGAACCUGCACCAGCGAGCCGCUCAGACGCCCAUGCGCAUACACAUCACGCCACGGCAUACCGCGGCCUGAAGCGACUGAGAGCGAAGCGUGGCAUGCAAGCAGAGCGCGGGGUCUCGGAGGGCCCUGGCCUGCGGCUCGCCAACUGCCUCCCUGAGCUCGUGCGGCACGCGCCUGGGCCACCCCCUGCUGCCCGCGCGACAGACGUCACCGCCUCCGCACUGGAGCAGGGCUCUGGGCGCUGCUCGCCUGGAUCAGGGCGUGCAGUCCACCCAGGUCCGCGUGGUGCCGGUGGGACGGUACACAUGGGAAGAGGGGACGGGGGAAGGACAGGACGGGCUCGUCCUAGGCGGCCAGAAUGUAGCCGUGGUGCAAUAGAAGUAGAUGAGUGGUGGUGCUGUGUUGUGUGUGUGUGCGUGUGUAUACGUGCUUGGCCGGUCUGUGGGCGCAUGGCACGGCAAAGACAUAAAAUUUUCUUCUGCCACAUAGGGGGUGGACCCGUCUCUCGUCCUUUUUAAGCGGUUAUGUGUUUUGGGUGCGCGUGUUCGUUCGUAGUGACAGUCAUCAGCUCAAUACAUACGAUCUAGCCACACGCAUGAUGACAGGCAAGAUGUUGCGCACCACGGCGCCCCUCCUGUGCUGCCGCCCUGUCCUUUUCCUCGUUGGUGGAGGUUGCUCUUCUCGCGGCGGACGCAGCAGAUGAGGGCUUUCGUUGCUGUGGUGUCGUUCUUUUCCUUCCCUCGCGUGUUCGUUGUAUGAAGUAAGCCCGUUCGCAGCCCACGUUGAAGGGGCAGCACGAGGCACUCUGUUCUUCUCUGUUUUCACUUGCUCGUCUCGAUGGCGUACCUCUUAUGGUGUAUUCCUCUGCAUAUCUGCCUGUGUGUCUGUGUCUGCAUGUGUGUCCGCGUCUUCGUUGUGUAUGCAUGUAUGUGCGUAUGUGUGUGCUUUCCUAAUAUCAUUGCUCCACCUCCAUCGCCCUUCCUCUUCCCUCCUUCCCGUUCCAGCCCUACUCCUUUUCAUCCCGAGAAUAUACCAUGUUGAUACGCAUGUCAGGCGGAGAGGUUGUGAGCGGAACCGAGAUGCGAGGGGAACGAUGGGACAGAUGCGUGGGCAAGGGUGCCGAGGGGGGGGGGCUGAUGCAUAGCGCUGUGGUCCCGCCGCUUCACGUUUCGCCCCUACUCCGCCCCAGCGAUUAGUGACCUCCCCCCAUUUUUACUUUGUUUUAUUUUGUUCAUAUCUCUUUUCUCUAUCUGCAUCGCUGAUGACGCGUAUGUUACGCCGUCUGCAUGCUUUUCGUUUCUUUCCGUUAUUUCUUCUGUCCCUGCCUC
Molecule: unclassified non-coding RNA, 4620 nt
Filed under: Leishmania donovani
Lineage: Eukaryota; Euglenozoa; Kinetoplastea; Trypanosomatida; Trypanosomatidae
Description: gene:LdHU3.31.3550(CDS-product:misc_RNAion_like_p rotein_nupm1_putative)
Source: RNAcentral